This 76-nucleotide transfer RNA is filed under the name Bacillota bacterium. Its description in RNAcentral is "Firmicutes bacterium (compost metagenome) tRNA-Thr". It matches the Rfam family "tRNA". From Rfam's summary of the family: Transfer RNA (tRNA) molecules are approximately 80 nucleotides in length. Their secondary structure includes four short double-helical elements and three loops (D, anti-codon, and T loops). RNAcentral also lists the same sequence under 2 other names. Lineage: Bacteria; Bacillati; Bacillota. The record is from RNAcentral.
GCCCGCAUAGCUCAGUCGGUAGAGCGCCUCCAUGGUAAGGAGGAGGUCGGCGGUUCAAGUCCGCCUGCGGGCUCCA